RNAcentral lists this non-coding RNA (45 nucleotides) under Schistosoma bovis. The record is from RNAcentral. Lineage: Eukaryota; Metazoa; Platyhelminthes; Trematoda; Strigeidida; Schistosomatidae. RNAcentral also lists the same sequence under 1 other name.
AUUCAGCGGAUGAGUCUCAAAUAGAAUGAAACGCGCGUCCUGGAU